GUGGGGAAUCUUGCGCAAUGGGCGAAAGCCUGACGCAGCCAUGCCGCGUGGAUGAUGAAGGUCUUAGGAUUGUAAAAUCCUUUCACCGGUGAAGAUAAUGACUGUAGCCGGAGAAGAAGCCCCGGCUAACUUCGUGCCAGCAGCCGCGGUAAUACGAAGGGGGCUAGCGUUGCUCGGAAUUACUGGGCGUAAAGGGCGCGUAGGCGGACAGUUUAGUCAGAGGUGAAAGCCCAGGGCUCAACCUUGGAAUUGCCUUUGAUACUGGCUGUCUUGAGUACGGGAGAGGUGAGUGGAAAUCCGAGUGGAGAGGUGAAAUUCGUAGAUAUUCGGAAGAACACCAGUGGCGAAGGCGACUCACUGGCCCGUUACUGACGCUGAGGCGCGAAAGCGUGGGGAGCAAACAGGAUUAGAUACCCCUGUAGUCC
Molecule: ribosomal RNA, 425 nt
Filed under: uncultured bacterium
Lineage: Bacteria
Description: partial 16S ribosomal RNA
Rfam family: Bacterial small subunit ribosomal RNA
Source: RNAcentral